This 429-nucleotide ribosomal RNA is filed under the name Chloroflexota bacterium. Its description in RNAcentral is "Chloroflexi bacterium partial 16S ribosomal RNA". It matches the Rfam family "Bacterial small subunit ribosomal RNA", at positions 355 to 776 of the family's 1533-position model. The record is from RNAcentral. Lineage: Bacteria; Bacillati; Chloroflexota.
UGGGGAAUAUUGCACAAUGGGCGCAAGCCUGAUGCAGCCAUGCCGCGUGUAUGAAGAAGGCCUUCGGGUUGUAAAGUACUUUCAGCGGGGAGGAAGGGAGUAAAGUUAAUACCUUUGCUCAUUGACGUUACCCGCAGAAGAAGCACCGGCUAACUACGUGCCAGCAGCCGCGGUAAUACGUAGGUGGCAAGCGUUGUCCGGAUUUAUUGGGCGUAAAGCGAGCGCAGGCGGUUUCUUAAGUCUGAUGUGAAAGCCCCCGGCUCAACCGGGGAGGGUCAUUGGAAACUGGGAGACUUGAGUGCAGAAGAGGAGAGUGGAAUUCCAUGUGUAGCGGUGAAAUGCGUAGAUAUAUGGAGGAACACCAGUGGCGAAGGCGGCUCUCUGGUCUGUAACUGACGCUCAGGUGCGAAAGCGUGGGGAGCAAACAGG